AGUUUGACUGGGGCGGUACAUCCGUCAAAUGGUAACGCGGGUGUCCUAUGGUGAGCUCAGUCAGGACAGAAACCUGGCGUAGAGUAAAAGGGCAAAAGCUUACUUGAUUUUUACUUUGGGUUUGUGGAUCAUCACCAAAUUAAAAUGAAACAAGAUUAUAUUUCCCUUCCGAUUUUGACACAUGUAUUAACUGAUAUCAG
Molecule: non-coding RNA, 200 nt
Filed under: Schistosoma margrebowiei
Lineage: Eukaryota; Metazoa; Platyhelminthes; Trematoda; Strigeidida; Schistosomatidae
Description: Eukaryotic large subunit ribosomal RNA
Rfam family: Eukaryotic large subunit ribosomal RNA
Source: Rfam by way of RNAcentral